This 612-nucleotide ribosomal RNA is filed under the name uncultured Acidobacteriota bacterium. RNAcentral's name for it is "bacterial SSU rRNA". It matches the Rfam family "Bacterial small subunit ribosomal RNA", at positions 9 to 633 of the family's 1533-position model. The record is from RNAcentral. Lineage: Bacteria; Pseudomonadati; Acidobacteriota.
GAGUUUGAUCUUGGCUCAGAAUCAACGCUGGCGGCGUGCCUCAGACAUGCAAGUCGAACGAUUGAGACUCUCUUCGGAGAGUGUAUAAAGUGGCGCACGGGUGAGUAACACGUAGGUAAUGUACCUUUGAGUGGGGAAUAACUUAGGGAAACUUAAGCUAAUACCGCAUAAUGCAGCGGCUCGACAUCGAGACAGUUGUUAAAGGAGUAAUUCGCUUAAAGAGCAGCCUGCGGCAGAUUAGCUAGUUGGUAAGGUAAUGGCUUACCAAGGCUACGAUCUGUAACCGACCUGAGAGGGUGGUCGGUCACACUGACACUGAAUAACGGGUCAGACUCCUACGGGAGGCAGCAGUCGGGAAUUUUGGGCAAUGGGCGAAAGCCUGACCCAGCAACGCCGCGUGAAGGAUGAAGUAUUUCGGUAUGUAAACUUCGUAAGAAUAGGAAGAAUAAAUGACGGUACUAUUUGUAAGGUCCGGCUAACUACGUGCCAGCUGCCGCGGUAAUACGUAGGGACCAAGCGUUGUUCGGAUUUACUGGGCGUAAAGGGCGCGUAGGCGGUUUGUCAAGUCAGUUGUGAAAUCUCCGAGCUUAACUCGGAACGGUCAACUGAUAC